UUUCUAUGGAGAGUUUGAUCCUGGCUCAGGACGAACGCUGGCGGCGUGCCUAAUACAUGCAAGUCGAGCGGACGAUUCGAAAGCUUGCUUUUGAAUCGUUAGCGGCGGACGGGUGAGUAACACGUGGGCAACCUGCCCUGUAGACGGGGAUAACACCGAGAAAUCGGUGCUAAUACCGGAUAACACGAAAUGUCGCAUGACGUUUCGUUGAAAGGCGGCGCAAGCUGCCGCUACAGGAUGGGCUCGCGGCGCAUUAGCUAGUUGGUGAGGUAACGGCUCACCAA
RNAcentral lists this ribosomal RNA (284 nucleotides) under Anoxybacillus pushchinoensis. RNAcentral describes it as "16S rRNA. Bacterial SSU". It matches the Rfam family "Bacterial small subunit ribosomal RNA", at positions 1 to 271 of the family's 1533-position model. The record is from RNAcentral. Lineage: Bacteria; Bacillati; Bacillota; Bacilli; Caryophanales; Anoxybacillaceae.